GAGAAAAAUACAUUUACUUCCUGUAAAACUAAAUAUUCAAGCGUUGUUUUAUGCAUAAAUUAUGGUGGUAUCUCCAAUAACUUUUGCGCGAAAAGAAUUUAGAAGGAAGAAGUGCUUUUUUUGGACCAAACACGACUUGGCUGUAACGCAGCGACCCAGGAGAUUGAGGUUAUGGGCGCCCAAAGCACCAAAGCAAAAUUACUUGGGCAUCUAAGAAAGUGGAUGAACUAACUGUCAAAGAAAGACUCCUGCAGAAGAAUGCUGACCUUUGCAUGGGAAAUUUUCUAAAUGCCAAAAAAGCGGCAACACUAUAAGUGCGCUUUUAAACUUUCGAGUCCUAAAUCUCAAAAUAAAUGAUGUUUCGGCAGCUGUUGUUGACAUCAUUGGUUGAUCUUAGUAGUGUCACAUUUUGUAUUGGUAACACAGUUCUUUUUUCAGGAGUAGGAGACCACACAGCAUUUAGAGGCAAGUUGUUAUUCUUGCGCCAUUCAUUCACUGAGUUAAUAGCUACUUGGAGUUUAAUGCAGUCCUCAAUAGUAUCAAUUCUACAGUAUAAUUUGUUAUCAUCACAGUAUAAUAAUUUGUUAACUUCUAAGUUCCUAGAAAUGGUGUAUUAAUAAAUGAGUUGAAAAGUAGAGGUCCCAAUAUGGAGCCUUGUGGUAGACUUAAAGGAGCGAUUAUUUCAGUUGAGCUGUGUUCAAAGCAUUCAACAUGUUGAGGACGUUUAGUGAGAUAAGAAGAGAUAAGAGAAAUUAAACGAGAUGAAAACCCAAAUUGGUCAGAAAGAUUUGAUAUAAGAAUGGAAUGGUCAAGACGGUCGAAAGCUUUCGAGAAAUCUGUAUAGACUACGUCAACUUGAGAAUUAUCGUUUAUAGAUUCUGAUAAUUUUAAAUUCCGUGAUCGUGUAACUGGCCGAUUUUUUCCAGAGCAGAGGAAAUUUUCUAGUUCCGAGGGCCAAGAUUAAACAAUAUUGUUAGCGGUUUACAAGAAGCAGACGCACAGUCAAAUAUAAGAAAUGCAGGUGUUUUAUCUUUGGGCUUAAUAGUAGAGCCGCAUAGGGCGAAAAAAAGUGGUUCGCGUGCCAAACGGUGAUGAAAGCAAACAAUAUAUAGAGGUUAGUAAGUAUUAACUUACUGAUUACAAACGUCUCUCAUCCCCCAACCCCUAAAAUGUAUUUUUAUUUUAAUUGUUAAUACCUCGGAUAUCAAUAGAGAUAGAAUUAAAAAAAAUUCUCUGUUAUUUUCACAAGUGCGAGGGGCAUAACAAAUGUUAUAUUGACUAAAUCAAUAUCUCGAGAACUAAAUGAGAUAUAUAAAAAUAUCUAAAUCAAAACUGAUGCACGUACUUGAAGAAAUUAUUCCAGAAAGUCAACGUGGUAGUUUUGUAUUCAACAUCAACAUUUAUAAUAUUGUUAUAAUGAUCGCAUGGCAGAACUUCAUCUUUUACAAAAACCUAAAAGCAUGAGGACCUGUUUAAAUUUAGCCAACCAUUUUAUAUCUGUCCUUUGGAAUAAAUAUGGAAAAUAUGACGAAAUACAUUUAGUUUUUGACAGAUACGAUGAUUCUUCUCUCAAACAAAAUACUAGAAAUAAAAGGUAUGAACAGAGCACCAAACAGUUAACUAUUGGAAAGCCUCUUAAUAUAUCAAAUGUUCAAAUCAGAGAUUUGUUGUCAAGCAAUAGAACAAAAAACGAAUUAUCAGAGUAUUUGUCAAAAAAAUGCCUGGACUCAGAUUCGUUCAAGAACAAAAAACGUUUUGCAUCUUGGAACAGAAGCUGCAUGACCAAUAGCAAAAAUAUUGAAGAUCUUGCAUCCAACCAGGAAGAAGCUGAUACCAAAAUCAUUUUACAUGCUACAUAUGCUGCCAAUCAUGCUGAAAAAAAAAAGAAGAAAUAUGUAUUACUGUGUGCUCUCCGGGUAUGAAUUUACUACACGAAAUAUGUAUGUAAUAAAAUAUUUAUACAUUUAUUAUAUUGUUUAGACACCGAAGUAUUUAUUUUUCUCUUGAAGUACAACGAAAUCUUUAGUUGCGAACUGUAGCUUCAGACUGGAUUAGGAGCAAAAAAGAGAAAUGUUGAUAUAAACAAGAUAGGCCAACAGCUCACGUACCUACAGAAAGAGGCUUUACCGAGUUUCAUGCGCUAUCAGGCUGCGAUGUCACAGGAGGGUUUGCAAAAAAAGGCAAACUGAAGUUUUUUAAAGCGUUUCAAGCGGUAGAUGAUCAAAUAUUAGCUUCUUUAAUCGAUCUUGGCAAUACUAAAAUAGAAGUGGAGAAAAUAUCAAAUCAGCUAGAAAAAUUUAUUUGCAUGGUGUACACUGUGUCCCAUUUUGGAUGAGACUGCAGGGUAUCUCUGUCAUUUUUUAAGAUAGAGCUUUGCGGUUUUCGCGACCCUGUAUCACUUUUUUGUAAAACUUUUAAAGCCACAAACAGAAAUAUUCUAACUACUUUUGUUCCUGAAAUACAGGGCGAAAACGAAAAUGUUCACUUUUGGAGAUG
This is a long non-coding RNA of Anthonomus grandis grandis, 2496 nucleotides long. RefSeq lists it as uncharacterized. The transcript has 4 exons. Lineage: Eukaryota; Metazoa; Arthropoda; Insecta; Coleoptera; Curculionidae. The record is from RefSeq and is a predicted model, not a curated record.